GUUGUUUGAAGCGUCUAUGAUGAACAGAGACCGAAUGAGAAGGAAGGGAAGUUGACGUCCCUGGGAUGUCGUCACUUCAUUAUUGCGUGCACAUGCGCGUUCAUGUGAGGCGAGACCUUUUUCAAAACGUGUUUCAAGACACAGGAGAGGUCGGGUUGAAAUAUUACUGAUGUUUCACGUUGAAAAUGGACCAAAAGAUUGAUGCUAAACAACGUUUGACAUGUUUGAACGAACGUAAAUAGAUUUUUUUUUAACUUUUCGUCGUGACUUUUCCCUCCCGCGCCCUACAUUUUGAGUAGCCCCGAAUGUGCUAACAACACGGAACAGCAUGGAGUUAUUUGGACAUAAAUUAUGAACUUCAUUGAAAAAAACAACAUUUGUUGUGGACCUGAGAUCCCUGGAAGUGCCUUCUGAUGAAGAUUAUUAAAAGGAUGCCGGUGGGCGGAGUUGGAAGGGUCGUCAGCUAAAUGGGAAACACCUGGGCUCGGCUGUGUCCCAGGAUAAAGGCACCUCUUCCACAGUCAUUGAGGAGACUCUCUCCACGCAGACACUUUGUUGAUUUUGGUUGUGUAGUUUUGUGGCUUUUUGGUUAUUUGCUUUGGCACUUUUCAACACCCUGCAUUAUUACAUUCAGGUAUGCAAAACACUCACACUACUGAUUACUGAUUACACAC
RNAcentral lists this long non-coding RNA (674 nucleotides) under Salmo salar (Atlantic salmon). RNAcentral describes it as "lncRNA (ENSSSAG00000108629.1)". Lineage: Eukaryota; Metazoa; Chordata; Actinopteri; Salmoniformes; Salmonidae. The record is from RNAcentral.